This 253-nucleotide ribosomal RNA is filed under the name uncultured microorganism. RNAcentral describes it as "partial 16S ribosomal RNA". It matches the Rfam family "Bacterial small subunit ribosomal RNA", at positions 524 to 776 of the family's 1533-position model. The record is from RNAcentral.
UACGUAGGUCCCGAGCGUUGUCCGGAUUUAUUGGGCGUAAAGCGAGCGCAGGCGGAAGAAUAAGUCUGAUGUGAAAGCCCUCGGCUUAACCGAGGAACUGCAUCGGAAACUGUUUUUCUUGAGUGCAGAAGAGGAGAGUGGAACUCCAUGUGUAGCGGUGGAAUGCGUAGAUAUAUGGAAGAACACCAGUGGCGAAGGCGACUCUCUGGUCUGCAACUGACGCUGAGGCUCGAAAGCAUGGGUAGCGAACAGG